UUCCAGACUCCUACGGGAGGCAGCAGUGAGGAAUAUUGGUCAAUGGGCGGGAGCCUGAACCAGCCAAGUCGCGUGAGGGAAGACGGUCCUACGGAUUGUAAACCUCUUUUGCCGGGGAGCAACGGGGUCCUUGCGAGGGCCCAAUGAGAGUACCCGGAGAAAAAGCAUCGGCUAACUCCGUGCCAGCAGCCGCGGUAAUACGGAGGAUGCGAGCGUUAUCCGGAUUUAUUGGGUUUAAAGGGUGCGUAGGCGGGCUGUUAAGUCAGCGGUAAAAUGUCGGGCCCCAACCCCGGCCUGCCGUUGAAACUGGCGGCCUCGAGUGGGCGAGAAGUAUGCGGAAUGCGUGGUGUAGCGGUGAAAUGCAUAGAUAUCACGCAGAACUCCGAUUGCGAAGGCAGCAUACCGGCGCCCUACUGACGCUGAGGCACGAAAGCGUGGGUAUCGAACAGGAUUAGAUACCCGUGUA
RNAcentral lists this ribosomal RNA (466 nucleotides) under uncultured bacterium. RNAcentral describes it as "partial 16S ribosomal RNA". It matches the Rfam family "Bacterial small subunit ribosomal RNA", at positions 329 to 792 of the family's 1533-position model. The record is from RNAcentral.